UACGUAGGCAGCAAGCGUUGUUCGGAGUUACUGGGCGUAAAGAGUGCGUAGGCGGUUUCGUAAGUUUGGUGUGAAAUCUCCCGGCUUAACUGGGAGGGUGCGCCGAAAACUGCGGGGCUGGAGUGUGGGAGAGGUAAGCGGAAUUCCCGGUGAUAGCGGUGAAAUGCGUAGAUAUCAGGAGGAACACCGAUGGCGAAGGCAGGUCACUGGGCCGCAACUGACGCUGAGGAGCGAAAGCUGGGGAGCGAACAGG
Molecule: ribosomal RNA, 253 nt
Filed under: uncultured bacterium
Lineage: Bacteria
Description: partial 16S ribosomal RNA
Rfam family: Bacterial small subunit ribosomal RNA
Source: RNAcentral